CUUUUUCAUUGUAAAGCUAUACUGUUCAACUGCUUCCUCAGUCACUUUUCUCAGGAUACUGUUUUUGUGUAAAAAUGAGGCAGAUGCCUACUAGACCAAAAUUAUAACAAGAGAGUUAGCAUUUGCAAGAGAUUCCUCGCGUGGGUCUAAAUCAAUCAUCCCCAGAAAGUGCACUACAUGGAUCUCACAAGUCCCAAAUACUUUCAAGCUCCUCCUAUUUUUGCUUCUACUGGGGAACCAGCAUUGGAGACCAAUACAAGCCUGUAUGGGAAAAGUAAGGACAACCCAUUUGCAGACACCUUUCAAGACCCACUUUGCAAGCUCAAUCUCAAGGAGACAUCCGAGUUUGUCAAGUCAUUUCCAAUGCCACGUAACAGUACAGAAUGCAGAGGGUUUCUUGAAGUUCCAGCUCAAAGGAGAAGAGAAGAAGUGAACUUGGUGACUCAGAGGAGAAUAGAAGCUCCUUCUACACCUGGUAGGCCAAUAUUCAGCUACAGUAUUGGUAAUCUUGCAAAAAAGAGCUUUCCCUCUAAGUGGGAGGAUGCAGAGAAGUGGCUGAUAAGCAGUUCUUGCCAUGAAUCUCCUGCUCAUGCCUUUCAGCCAUCGCCAGAGUCUUUAAAGAUUCAGAAACAGAAUGAUAAUUUUAGGCAGCAAAUGGAGGUAUUUGCAGAGAAAUCAAGGGUUGCAGAGGAAAAAGUCUCAAAGCUUGUUUCUAGCUUUCAGGGGUCGGUAGCUUUGGACCAACACAAACUAGGAAUAUCCUUUAAUGGGGUUACUGUUUCUCCAGAUGUGUUUCUAAAAGACAAGUUCACUGAUGAGGUAGAAUCAGUUUUGCCAAAUUUUAGAUACUCAGUGCCAUCAAAAGAAGGAUUUCUUUUUAGAAACGCAGCCAGUGAAGCGAUGAAAGAUGUUGGUACUGAAGUAUUUCAUGAGGUGGAACACAGAGAUACUGGUACAGAAAUGACUCCUCUAGGCAGUUCCACAACUUCAAGAUGCCACACACCAAUCAAAAACUCAUCGCCUGCUCGCCACAACACGCCUGCCAAUAAGUCAGGUCCUUUGCCUUCGGGGAAUUCUAGCGGCACCAACAGUAGCAUUAACAUCUCCCAGUUACAAGCUUGCCAUUUGGCUAAGCUACAACAUGGGUCACAAUAUGAUUCUGUUACAACAAAUUGGAGCUCAAGGGAAGAAGAGGAAGAGGAAAUAUCAAAGAGCCUGAGACAUUUUGAAACAGGCAUCACUGGCAGGAGAAGUGUUUCAGAUUCAAGAGCUGCUCCAUGGGAGGAAGAGGAAAAGACAAAGUGCUGUCUUAGGUAUCAAAGAGAGGAAGCAAAAAUUCAAGCUUGGUUGAACCUCCAAACUGCAAAAGCGGAAGCUCAAUCAAGAAAGCUUGAGGUGAAAAUACAAAAGAUGAGAUCGAACUCAGAAGAGAAGUUGAUGAAGAGAAUGGCAGUUGUUCACAGAAAAGCUGAAGAAUGGAAAACUGCAGCUCGCCAGCAACACACUGAGCAGAUUCAAAGAGCUAGAGAACAAACAAAGAAGAUGACGAAACGACACUUUCCUAUCCACACUUCUUGUGGUUGCUUCCCUUGCAACACCCGUCCUUGAUCUAGAAAUAAAAGACAGAUGUAUCUCCUGCUUUUUCUAAGCAAAACCCAAAU
RNAcentral lists this unclassified non-coding RNA (1661 nucleotides) under Hevea brasiliensis (rubber tree). The record is from RNAcentral. Lineage: Eukaryota; Viridiplantae; Streptophyta; Magnoliopsida; Malpighiales; Euphorbiaceae.